GGGGGCGACCUGGCUUCGACGCGGUACGCGAAACCCGAGGGGCAUGCCGAGGGGCAGAUCACCUCGUAAAUCCAGCUGCAACCAAUAUAGUUGCCAACGACGACAACUACGCACUCGCUGCCUAAACCCCAGUAGGGUGCCGUCUGACCGGAGCCGUGCCUGUGCGUCCGGAUUUCAGGCGUCGACUCUCACAGGCUCGCGGAGCGGCGUGUCCGGCGCCAAUCCGUCAAAAUCUUGCCGGACUCGCCUGCUGUCUUCCCUGCCGAUCGGGUAGCAGCAGGUCAAAUCAAUAGACCGGCUAAGCAUGUAGAACCGAGGGCGUAGGUGCCGCGGACGCGGGUUCGAUUCCCGCCGCCUCCACCA
This 363-nucleotide transfer-messenger RNA is filed under the name Gammaproteobacteria (g-proteobacteria). Its description in RNAcentral is "J113 sp003694425 Standard tmRNA". It matches the Rfam family "transfer-messenger RNA". From Rfam's summary of the family: Bacterial tmRNA, also known as 10Sa RNA or SsrA, is named for its dual tRNA and mRNA-like properties. Its role is to liberate the mRNA from a stalled ribosome. The record is from RNAcentral. Lineage: Bacteria; Pseudomonadati; Pseudomonadota. RNAcentral also lists the same sequence under 1 other name.